This 328-nucleotide ribosomal RNA is filed under the name uncultured eukaryote. RNAcentral describes it as "partial 18S ribosomal RNA". It matches the Rfam family "Eukaryotic small subunit ribosomal RNA", at positions 1470 to 1796 of the family's 1831-position model. The record is from RNAcentral.
CCCUUAGAUGUCCUGGGCCGCACGCGCGUUACACUGAUGCAUUCAACGAGCUUAUAACCUUGGCCGAGAGGCCUGGGCAAUCUUGUUAACGUGCAUCGUGAUAGGGAUAGAUUAUUGAAAUUAUUAAUCUUGAACGAGGAAUUCCUAGUAAACGCAGAUCAUCAAUCUGCAUUGAUUACGUCCCUGCCCUUUGUGCACACCGCCCGUCGCACCUACCGAUUGGAUGGUCCGGUGAAGCCUCGGGAUUGUGGUUCUUGCCGCUUUAUUGUGGCGUGACCGCGAGAACUUGUCUAAACCUUAUCAUUUAGAGGAAGGUGAAGUCGUAACA